UGCUUUUUACAUCCAACACAAAAACUGCAGUCGUGGUGCUUUUGAUUGUUGUCACGGACCCGGUUCCGGGGACUCGGGGUCCGUGAACAGUGUGGACCUUUAUUAUCAUUAUCAUUAUUGUUAUUAUUGGAUGUAUGUUUGCGGCACUGUGCUCUUGUGUUCCAUGCUGGUGUGUGUUCGUGUGUGUGUCUGCGGGUGUGGCUGGAGGAUGAAGGACAGCCACCUGCAGGCCUGAUGGGUGUGGUCCUGCCGGCUGCUGGGCACGCCUAUGUUCCCACACACCUGCUUCUGAUCAGGCUCGUCGGGGGAGCUACAUAACAGAGCGAUGGGGCUUCCUCCGGCGCAGGAUCGUUGAGUUAGACUCCAUGAGGAGAGCGCAACACUGGACUGCAGGACGCACGGGGUGUGCGUAGGCACAGGGGCAGAGAGCACGGGAUACCAGCACUUAGGAGAAGACACGUCACGGGAGUCAAGGGAGCACUCAGGAGAUUUAUUGUGUGGUGUACAUUUACCUCACUGUAAAUAAAUGCACUGCUCAUUCCACUAA
Long non-coding RNA from Oreochromis niloticus (Nile tilapia), 547 nucleotides. RefSeq lists it as uncharacterized. The record is from RefSeq and is a predicted model, not a curated record. The transcript is spliced from 2 exons. Lineage: Eukaryota; Metazoa; Chordata; Actinopteri; Cichliformes; Cichlidae.